Molecule: transfer RNA, 73 nt
Filed under: Enhygromyxa salina
Lineage: Bacteria; Pseudomonadati; Myxococcota; Nannocystales; Nannocystaceae
Rfam family: tRNA
About the family: Transfer RNA (tRNA) molecules are approximately 80 nucleotides in length. Their secondary structure includes four short double-helical elements and three loops (D, anti-codon, and T loops). Further hydrogen bonds mediate the characteristic L-shaped molecular structure. tRNAs have two regions of fundamental functional importance: the anti-codon, which is responsible for specific mRNA codon recognition, and the 3' end, to which the tRNAs corresponding amino acid is attached (by aminoacyl-tRNA synthetases). tRNAs cope with the degeneracy of the genetic code in two manners: having more than one tRNA (with a specific anti-codon) for a particular amino acid; and 'wobble' base-pairing, i.e. permitting non-standard base-pairing at the 3rd anti-codon position.
Source: Rfam by way of RNAcentral
GAUGCAGUGGCCGAAAUGGAGAGGCGCACGAUUGCAGUUCGUGUCCAUGCGGGUUCGAGUCCCGCCUGCAUCU